GUUUUUGUAGUAUAUAUUAACAUACCUUACCUUUUCAAGGUAAAAAAGACUUUAAGUCCUUAAAUA
This 66-nucleotide transfer RNA is filed under the name Dolicheulota formosensis. Its description in RNAcentral is "tRNA-Glu". Lineage: Eukaryota; Metazoa; Mollusca; Gastropoda; Stylommatophora; Camaenidae. The record is from RNAcentral.